RNAcentral lists this long non-coding RNA (2701 nucleotides) under Mustela putorius furo (domestic ferret). RNAcentral describes it as "lncRNA (ENSMPUG00000028577.1)". The record is from RNAcentral. Lineage: Eukaryota; Metazoa; Chordata; Mammalia; Carnivora; Mustelidae.
AGCAUUCUCAAGACCAGAAUUCCAAGAAGGCACAAACUGAAAAUGCAGAGCUCCUUGACAGUCAGUGGAUUUAGCGGGGGGAAAUCAGAGACUCAGAAAAGAUUUUUAUUUGUUCAAUCUAUUUAGUCAACAGAGUGAUUUUAUGGCCUCUACAGUGCAUAUCCCCGAAUGUUAGUGAAACUGGAUGAGUGUUAUCUACCUGCGUGCAGAGAGAUGAAUUGUUGGGCAGAUGAACCCUUUCAAGCAGUGGCCAGCCUACCGUGGCUGCCAUUUGUUCGCCGUCUCUGCUGCAGUCCGUUCUGCGUGGUUCCCCAGGCCAGCACCCCAAACCAGCCAGGACCAUGGGGCAUCGCCAUACUCACAGGGCAGUCCGAAAGCCCCUAACCUCUGGGCCAUCCCUACCCUCUCCUGGCAGAGAGCUUGACUGCCAACUCAGGAUUUCUCUUGUGGGUUCUUCUUCCCCAAGGCCCAUUUCGCUGGGGAAAGUCAUCCAGAGCACAUGUGUGACAGUUAACCCAUGAGCCAGUCCAUCAGAGGCUCUUUACUCCCCAACCCUGUCCUUGAAGUGUGGGUUCCACUUGCCUUACCUGCUCCCAGAGGCUUCUCCAGAGACCGUGCCUUGAGACAGUGAUGCAGUGCUGAGAACACCAGCAAGCGUACUUGACUGAACCCAGCUAAACCCUCUCUCUGUGUAAAUGUUAAGGAUCUGCUGGCAGGUGCCGGGAUCUACUCCUCCUGCUUCUCCCCCAGACAAAUCCUGUAUAGAUGUUUCCUUUGCUUAUUAAAUCAGCUGCAUACUCAGCUGGAGGGGCCUGCCUAUUUCUUUGUUCUCUCCCUGCCCUCUGAGUGCCGGGGGCCGGUUCCAGAUUAUGCCCUGAAAACUCCUGACAGGGAGGCAAGCUGGUGUGUUUCUUUGGACUUUGAGGAUGGCUCGCCAAUUGUUGCUUCACAAACUGGCCCCCGUACAUGGAGAACAAGGGGAGCCCCAAGAAAGAGGCAGCCCAUUCCAGAUCAGCAAACAGCAGCUCUAAAUAAGCAAGGCGACUUCUGAGGCAUGUCGUGGGCGGUCGGGAGAUGAGGAGAUCUUCGUGUCUUCCUGCCAGAAUCAUAAAACUUUCUAGAGACGCCUUACCGGGGCUUAGUCGUGUGUACAAUCCAAGUGGUCUCAGGAACACCUCACUCUCUUGAGCCUGCAUCCUGGAGAACGGCUCCCGCUGUGGGAGUGGCGGGCAUUCCAAGGACAGGAGACGGGGUGAGGAGCCUCCCAUUACCAGGCCCCAGCUCCCAGGUCACCUGGCAGUCACGUCCUGCUGAUGACCUUCUCUAAUAGAAGACCAUUUCGGAUGGAGCCACCACCAGAUCUGUGACAUCUGAGGAGAAGGCUGAGGACUCCAGCUGGCAAGAGUGGCCCCGCUCAAAGACCUCUGGGUGGAGAGGGGCUACCACAGAACGACAGCCACCUGGUCCCUAGGCAAGGAAGGCUCGCCCAGGUAAUCCAGUAUUCAUGAUUAUUGUGUCCUACAUAGGACCUUGUAUGUUUAGUUUUGUUUUUUUUUUAAGAUUUUUAUUUAUUUGACGGAGAGACAGCGAGAGAGGGAACACAAGCAGGGGCAGAGGGAGAGGGAGAUACAGGCUUCCUGCUGAGCAGGGAGCCCGAUGCGGGGCUCGAUCCCAGGACCCUGAGAUCAUGACCUGAGCCGAAGGCAGAGGCUUAAUGACUGAGCCACCCAGGCGCCCCAAGGGUCUGAGCAUUUGUGGCAAAAUCUGAUAAGGAUGCUGAGAGGCGGGAUUCCUGGGAAAGUGAGAAAAGUGAAGAGGAGGGUGUUUUGGUCAUUGAUGGUGGAAGAGAUGAAGUGCCCCACGCCGUAUGACCCGAUGGAAAGGAAAAGUUGGAGUUAUCCUAGAUUUCGGAUAAUAGAGAAAUAUGUCCCCAAAACUCCUAGGAGAAAACUUGCCUUCUCUCUCUGUCCCUUGAAAUCAUGAAUCUUACUGUGUCUUUGAAAAGGAAACACCUAAAAAAAAAAAAAAGAAAAGGAAAGGAAACACCUCAGGAGAUAAAGUAAUCACUGCCCAUAAUUGCUUGAGACUGAAGAGAAAAAAAGGGAAAGAGGCUUUUUUAAAAUAUUACUCUAGAAGCUCCCUUGCCCAAAAUCUAGCCCAAAGCAUCCAUAAGAUUACUUGUCAAGGGCAAAUACAAAUCUUAAAAUCUCCACAAAACUUGGGGAAAUGUUUUAGCCAUGUUAAGCUGGUGACCUUAACUUGUUCCAUCUGCUAGAGACACAGUUUGGUCAAUUGUUAGCUAUCAACUAGUAAGUUUUGCAUUGUUGUUGUACCUGAUUGGUGACUAAAGUUCUGGAAUGAAAGCUAUAGAGACUCUGUGUCUCUAUGUUUAUGUUUGUCUCUGGAUAUUAGGAGAUAUAUAUAUAUAUAUCUCUGAUGUUUUCCUAUAUCUGGAGGAUAUUGCUAAAAUUAAUUUGUAAAAGAGCUUGAUUUAAUUGGCUUAAAUAAUUUUAAUAUUAAUGGUGUACUUAUGUAAAAUGAAAACUUAACUUUCUUUCAUCUGCCAGAAAGACAAAGUUUUCUUGUCCUAUUGGUCUGUUCUUAAGAAAGUUAUGAAAAGGUUUUCUUUACCUUUUAAGUAACCUGCCUAGAAAACAAAGAUCCUAUGUUUUAUCAAAAUUCUUUCCCGUGCGCAGUGUCU